GUGCAACCCGGAGGUCAAGUAGAAAUCGUGGAGGAAAACACAUCAUACUGGAAAAGACCUCAACUUACUAACGACGUCUCCCUUUAUUGAACGUGUACAUCAAAGAGCAUUUUUCUCACUCCAUUCAGUGAGAUUAUAACUCCCUCCCCGCUAGAUUUAUUUAAUCUGAGCCAGGAACACUUGGAGCUAGUGGCCUGACUGCUUCUCCCAGCACAGGGACUGACUAGUGAAUUGCCACCUCUUCCCAGCUGGCCUCAGGCCUUGGCUAUCUAACUUCAUUCGCUAGUUUCUAUUCUUCCUUGAGGGAGCUUGAGUUCUAGAGAAAGUUCUCUUUUCCUCUAGUUCAUAUGUGACUUGGCUCACGCUAAUUUCUGUGUGAAAGCCGAUGUGAUGACCUCAGGCCAGGGCCGCUGGUGGAGGGUGAUGGUUUAGCUCCCAAGCUCUGACCUGUACAGACCCCCCCCCCCAAGCCACUAUUAAUAACCGUCGGGGUCAGCGCCACUUGCCUAUCUGACCGUCUGCUUUAUAAUUCUUAUUUACGACCCACAACAGGCUGUUUAUGAUGAUCACAAGCUUGGGGAACAGCAGGUGAGGUGCUCAGGAGUAAAAGGUGCUUGUCUCCAAGCCUGAGGGAACUUUGCUUUCCAGGAUACACAUGGCACGCUCCCUCAACUUGUUCUCUGACCUGCGACUGAACACAUAAUAAAUAAAAUGUGAUAAUAGAGGUUAAAAAUAAGAUAAGUAAAUGAAAAGUCCCGUGGAGGUUCUGGACUUGAGGAGCUUCCCCAGAUCUCACUGGUAUGUGUGGCAGGGUCUAUCUGGACUGGAGAUUCAGGGUUGCUUUACCCCAUAUGUAAAGUCAUAAAGGACAGAAAGGCAUUUUCCUUUUGAUUAAAGCCUGGUUUCCAAACCUAGCAGGUAGGAACAAUGUCCCUCCUUGCCCAGAGGACCUGGCCCAUUUAUUUAUUUUUUUAACCUCUGAGAAGUCGUCUCCCACACAAGAUUUGAGCCAGCAGGAGACAGGAAAUGCACUAGCACUGGGCUAGGAAUGCCAUCCCUCACUCUUGAGACUGAGACAGGACUGCAGGAAGAUCUGGAUGGGGACAGAUUGAUGUGGCAGUGCCACAGCCGCACCGAUAACAUUAAUUCCAAAGCCAAUGCAGCACCUUCGCAAGUCUUGAUGUGCUGUUCAGUGUGCACUCACCUGACAGUAAAGCUUGGAGCUACCUGCGGUGGGAAGAGCAGUCAGGAUGGAAUUACCACAGCACAUGGACAGUUCGCAAUCUAGAUGUCUCUCAGGAAAGUCUAGAAGGAGCUACUCCGAAGAGAAAAUCCACCUAUUCACCAGAUUCCCUUCUCCCUCUGCACAGUCCCUGAAAGCCACCAUCCUGCAUUCUUGCUGUGUUCCUUUGACUAGGAUCCUUAUCUAAGCGAACGUGUGCAACAUUUGUCCUUUCUUGGCAAUCUUCUUCCACUUGUCACUGUGUCUUCAUGCUUCAUCAUCCAUGUUGUAGCAUGUGCCAGGUCUGCAUUUAUCUGAACAGCAGAAUCACAUUCCACUGUGCAGUGCUGCUUUUCUAUCAAUCCAUCCGUCUACUGAUUAACACACCGGCAUUCUCAGGCGACGCUUCAGGACACAGUAGUUGGGGAAUUCCAUGCCUAUACUGUGCCCAUACAGAGGUCACCAUGUCAAGUGAGGACCCAGUCCUAGCCAACCUCUGUUCUUAUGAGAGCAUCUGGACAUGCAGACUCGGGGUACAGAGGAAGGAAGGGGACCACCUUCAAGCUGAAGAGAGACGUCAGGAGAAAGGCAACCUUCGAGCCCUUGAUCAUCAACCUCACACCUCCAAAACCAUGGGAAAAUAGAUUUCUGUGGUGAAAGCUACCAAGGCUUUCUGUCUGCCAUGGUAAUUGGUUCUGAAGGAGGCGAUACUCAUUAAGAUAGUUGUGUGCCAUUAUAUUCCUAAAGAGCCUCUUACCUCCCUUUAUAUUCCUGCCUGCCUUUGUAACUGAAAUGAGUGUGCAUUUAGAACUCGCUUCCCACCUUUUCUUCCCCUCCAAGAGCUUAAGUCCUUCAAAGAAGCCUAUGACCUGACUCUUAAACCAAGGCUGCAGCCUUCUGUUUCUCUAAUCCACAGCUGGAUUGCUUUGAUACUCUGGUCAAAAGGCUCUGUUCUCAAUGGGGCUCAGUUCACAGGCAAGCUCCAGGGCAGCCCGCCUCCUCUGCCCCAGACAGUACAAGGAAAGGUGGGGGUCGUGAUGAAAAGGCAGAACACUGUGGGGAAGAGGGCAAGAGCUAGGAAAGUCAGCUUUUGUGUGUCGAGGAAAAAGCCUUGAUUGGAAUGAGGGACUCUGAGCCAUUCUGGGGACUUAGCUCACUGGAGACACAUGUGCAAAUCACUUUCCCAAAAGCUUUAAUUGCAUCAUCUUGUAAACUUGCUUCAGAAGGCCAUGGGGGGGGGGGUGAGAAUAGGAAUCAUGGUCACUGUCAUGACUACAAGGUCUAGUUUAUCAAGAGUCUUUGUCCAAAAAAACCCAGUGGAAACAUUUAAAAAUGACACUACGUUGGAGUCUGAUUAAUUUUUCUAAAACACAAAGGAUCCUCCCCUCCUCCUUCCCCCACCCCCAAUGAGCACCCCUCGGACAAGGUUUGUGCCAUCAUUACAAGUUGAGCUUUGUAGCUCCUCUAAAUGUUGAGCGAUUGGCCUGCAGCCUUCAGUAGCUUUUGGUUCAUCGACUCUGCUGCAUCUGAGUGCUGCUGUGUUCCGGGGUGCUGACCCAAUGUUGACUGUACUCUCUGGGUUCCUCAGUCCUGUCCAAUUUGACUUCGCUCUCAUUCUGUAAUCUUCAUGUUGAAGCCUAGAUUUAUAAUAAAGACAUUUUCUGUGGCUA
Mesocricetus auratus (golden hamster) is the source of this 2892-nucleotide long non-coding RNA. RefSeq lists it as uncharacterized. Lineage: Eukaryota; Metazoa; Chordata; Mammalia; Rodentia; Cricetidae. The record is from RefSeq and is a predicted model, not a curated record. The transcript has 2 exons.